RNAcentral lists this ribosomal RNA (687 nucleotides) under Steinernema longicaudum. RNAcentral's name for it is "LSU rRNA". It matches the Rfam family "Eukaryotic large subunit ribosomal RNA", at positions 113 to 797 of the family's 3401-position model. The record is from RNAcentral. Lineage: Eukaryota; Metazoa; Nematoda; Chromadorea; Rhabditida; Steinernematidae.
GUCGAAACCGGUGGCUCUGCUGACACUGUAUUGUGACGUAUAGAGGUGAUCAUGUGCGGUUUAGGGCUUUACGAAUUCUCUUUGACUAGAGAUCCAAAGCGGGUGCGAGACCCGUACGUAUUGCCUGUUUGUCGUACGCGGUUGCUUCUUGGAGUAGGGUUGUUUGAGAUCGCAGCCCAAAGCAGGUGGUAUACUUCAUCUAAAGCUAAAUACGACUACGAAUCCGAUAGCAAACAAGUACCGUGAGGGAAAGUUGCAAAGUACUUUGAAGAGAGAGUUCAAGAGGACGUGAAACCGAUAGGAUGGAAGCAGAUGAAGUUGACGAACGAGUGUCGUAUUCAGGGUUGCAUCUUGUGUGCAGUCUGUUCUUGCGGCCGAUGUGGGCCGGCGGCUUUGGUCAAUGCACUGUGUCAAGCGUCGAUGGUGACCCUGCGGAGGGAUAAUCGGUCGGCGUGCGAUGCGUGGUAUGGCUAGGGUGCGCCGGUCUUGAAGUCAGCGCCUCAUCUGACCCGUCUUGAAACACGGACCAAGGAGUGUAUCGUUUACGCAAGUCUUAGAGUGUAUCAAAACUUUGAGGCGCAACGAAAGUGAAUGUAGCUCGAUCUACUGACUUGUCGAUGCCGUUGUCUCCUGUGGACAGCGCUGGACCAUAGUUAUAUCGCGAUCGCUUGCGAUGCGGUGUAAACA